GAGCCGAAAGACUUUCUUGCUAGUUCGUCGACGUUAAAAAACCAACGUCGUGACUAUCCCAUUCAUUUGAACGUAGAAAGGAUCCGAGGAUCGAGAAAGCACACAGGGGUUUAGAGGCACACCACGUGGACGUGGACAAAUAUUAAUAAAUGGAUUCAUA
Molecule: long non-coding RNA, 160 nt
Filed under: Polistes fuscatus (common paper wasp)
Lineage: Eukaryota; Metazoa; Arthropoda; Insecta; Hymenoptera; Vespidae
Description: uncharacterized LOC122523048
Source: RNAcentral